Molecule: ribosomal RNA, 909 nt
Filed under: uncultured bacterium
Lineage: Bacteria
Description: bacterial SSU rRNA
Rfam family: Bacterial small subunit ribosomal RNA
Source: RNAcentral
AGAGUUUGAUCAUGGCUCAGGAUGAACGCUGGCGGUGUGGAUAAGGCAUGCAAGUCGAACGGACUUUAUUUUUCCGGAGAAUGAGAUUACAUCAAGUUCAAAGGUCGUUUAAAGUUAGUGGCGAACGAGGUAGUAACACGUGGGUACUUCCCCCUAAGUCGCGAAUAAUCCAUCGAAAGGUGGACUAAUACGCGAUGGUCUCGCAAGAGUAAAGUUUUAACGCUUUGGGAAAGGCCUGUGCGAUAUCAGCUAGUUGGUAGUGUAAUGGACUACCAAGGCUAUGACGUCUAGGGGAGGUGAGAGCCUGACCCCCACCGAUGGUACUGCGACACGGACCAUACACCUACGGGUGGCUGCAGUCGAGAAUCUUCCACAAUGGACGAAAGUCUGAUGGAGCGACGCCGCGUGAUUGAUGAAGCCCCUCUGGGGCGUAAAGAUCUUUUAUGAGGGAAGAAGUUUAUUGACGGUACCUCAUGAAUAAGAGGCUCCUAAUCUCGUGCCAGCAGGAGCGGUAAUACGAGAGCCUCGAGCGUUAUCCGGAAUUAUUGGGCGUAAAGGGUGCGUAGGUUGUUCUGUUAGUCUUUUGUCAAAUCCUUGGGCUUAACCCAAGGACCGCAAAAGAAACGGCAGAACUUGAAAGUGCGAGAGGUUUACGGAACUCAUGGUGUAGGGGUGAAAUCCGUUGAUAUCAUGGGGAACACCAAAAGCGAAAGCAGUAAACUGGCGCAUAUUUGACACUGAGGCACGAAAGCGUGGGUAGCGAAUGGGAUUAGAUACCCCAGUAGUCCACGCCCUAAACGAUGAUUUCUCGCUAUUCGGAGUAUCGACCCUCUGAGUGGCUUAGCUAACGCGUUAAGAAAUCCGCCUGGGAAGUACGGCCGCAAGGCUAAAACUCAAAGGAAUUGACGG